Molecule: ribosomal RNA, 253 nt
Filed under: uncultured bacterium
Lineage: Bacteria
Description: partial 16S ribosomal RNA
Rfam family: Bacterial small subunit ribosomal RNA
Source: RNAcentral
UACGUAGGGUGCGAGCGUUAAUCGGAAUUACUGGGCGUAAAGCGUGCGCAGGCGGCUUUGCAAGACAGAUGUGAAAUCCCCGGGCUCAACCUGGGAACUGCAUUUGUGACUGCAAGGCUAGAGUACGGCAGAGGGGGAUGGAAUUCCGCGUGUAGCAGUGAAAUGCGUAGAUAUGCGGAGGAACACCAAUGGCGAAGGCAAUCCCCUGGGCCUGCACUGACGCUCAGGUGCGAAAGCGUGGGGAGCAAACAGG